GAUGAACGCUAGCGGGAGGCCUAACACAUGCAAGCCGAGCGGUAUUGUUUCUUCGGAAAUGAGAGAGCGGCGUACGGGUGCGGAACACGUGUGCAACCUGCCUUUAUCUGGGGGAUGGCCUUUCGAAAGGAAGAUUAAUACUCCAUAAUAUAUUGAUUGGCAUCAAUUGAUAUUGAAAGCUCCGGCGGAUAGAGAUGGGCACGCGCAAGGAUUAGCUAGUUGGUGAGGUAACGGCUCACCAAGGCAAUGAUCUUUAGGGGGCCUGAGAGGGUGAUCCCCCACACUGGUACUGAGACACGGACCAGACUCCUACGGGAGGCAACAGUGAGGAAUAUUGGUCAAUGGGUGCAAGCCUGAACCAGCCAUCCCGCGUGAAGGACGACUGCCCUAUGGGUUGUAAACUUCUUUUGUAUAGGGAUAAACCCUACCCUCGUGAGGGUAGCUGAAGGUACUAUACGAAUAAGCACCGGCUAACUCCGUGCCAGCAGCCGCGGU
This 495-nucleotide ribosomal RNA is filed under the name uncultured bacterium. RNAcentral's name for it is "bacterial SSU rRNA". It matches the Rfam family "Bacterial small subunit ribosomal RNA", at positions 28 to 521 of the family's 1533-position model. The record is from RNAcentral.